This 405-nucleotide unclassified non-coding RNA is filed under the name soil metagenome. RNAcentral describes it as "partial contains 5.8S ribosomal RNA, internal transcribed spacer 2, and large subunit ribosomal RNA". The stretch from base 1 to 121 matches the Rfam family "5.8S ribosomal RNA", at positions 35 to 154 of the family's 154-position model. The record is from RNAcentral.
GAUGAAGAACGUAGUGAAAUGCGAUAAGUAAUGUGAAUUGCAGAAUUCAGUGAAUCAUCGAAUCUUUGAACGCACCUUGCGCCCUUUGGCCAUUCCGAAGGGCAUGCCUGUUUGAGUAUCAUGAACACCUCAACUCUUUAUGGUUUUCCAUGAUGAGCUUGGCCUCUGGGGGUUUUGCUGGCUCACAGUCGGCUCCUCUAAAAUGAAUCAGCUUACCAGUGUUUGGUGGGUAUCAUGGGUGUGAUAACUAUCUACGCUUGUGGUUUUUCCACCAGGUAACCUUCAGCAGUGGAGGUUCGCUGGAGCUCAUAGAUGUCUCUCCUCAGUGAGGACAGCCCUUUGAAUGUUUGAUCUCAAAUCAGGUAGGACUACCCGCUGAACUUAAGCAUAUCAAUAAGCGGAGGA